GGGGAGAUGUCCGAGUGGUUGAAGGAGCACGCCUGGAACGCGUGUAAGGUGCAAAGCCUUCGAGGGUUCGAAUCCCUCUCUCUCCGCCA
Molecule: transfer RNA, 89 nt
Filed under: Helicobacter pylori
Lineage: Bacteria; Pseudomonadati; Campylobacterota; Epsilonproteobacteria; Campylobacterales; Helicobacteraceae
Also listed under: 1 other name
Description: tRNA-Ser
Rfam family: tRNA
About the family: Transfer RNA (tRNA) molecules are approximately 80 nucleotides in length. Their secondary structure includes four short double-helical elements and three loops (D, anti-codon, and T loops).
Source: RNAcentral